AGCGAACGCUGGCGGCGUGCCUAGCACAUGCAAGUCGAACGUGAAAAGGGAAACCUGAGUAAAGUGGCGUACGGGUGAGUAACGCGUAGGUAAUCUACCCCAGAAUCUGGAAUAACCUGCCGAAAGGCGGGCUAAUACUGGAUAGAGCGAGGGAACUCGUAAGAGAGUUUUUCGGGAAAGGGAGCCCGCAAGGGCCUUCGUUCUGGGAUGAGCCUGCGUCUCAUUAGCUAGUUGGUAAGGUAACGGCUUACCAAGGCGAUGAUGAGUAGCUGGUCUGAGAGGAUGAGCAGCCACACUGGAACUGAAACACGGUCCAGACUCCUACGGGAGGCAGCAGUGGGGAAUCUUGCGCAAUGGACGAAAGUCUGACGCAGCCACGCCGCGUGAGUGAAGAAGGCCUUCGGGUUGUAAAGCUCUGUCGGAUGGGACGAACAUCUUCAUAGUGAAUAGCUAUGAGGACUGACGGUACCAUCAAAGGAAGCACCGGCUAACUCCGUG
This 498-nucleotide ribosomal RNA is filed under the name uncultured bacterium. RNAcentral's name for it is "partial 16S ribosomal RNA". It matches the Rfam family "Bacterial small subunit ribosomal RNA", at positions 29 to 507 of the family's 1533-position model. The record is from RNAcentral.